This 507-nucleotide ribosomal RNA is filed under the name uncultured bacterium. RNAcentral describes it as "partial 16S ribosomal RNA". It matches the Rfam family "Bacterial small subunit ribosomal RNA", at positions 28 to 507 of the family's 1533-position model. The record is from RNAcentral.
GACGAACGCUGGCGGCGUGCCUAAUACAUGCAAGUCGAACGCAUUUUCUUUCACCGUAGCUUGCUACACCGAAAGAAAAUGAGUGGCGAACGGGUGAGUAACACGUGGGUAACCUGCCCAUCAGCGGGGGAUAACACUUGGAAACAGGUGCUAAUACCGCAUAAUUCCAUUUACUGCAUGGUAGAUGGUUGAAAGGCGCUUUUGCGUCACUGAUGGAUGGACCCGCGGUGCAUUAGCUAGUUGGUGGGGUAACGGCCUACCAAGGCUGCGAUGCAUAGCCGACCUGAGAGGGUGAUCGGCCACACUGGGACUGAGACACGGCCCAGACUCCUACGGGAGGCAGCAGUAGGGAAUCUUCGGCAAUGGACGCAAGUCUGACCGAGCAACGCCGCGUGAGUGAAGAAGGUUUUCGGAUCGUAAAACUCUGUUGUUAGAAAAGAACAAGGAUGAGAGUGGAAAGUUCAUCCCUUGACGGUAUCUAACCAGAAAGCCACGGCUAACUACGUG